This 497-nucleotide ribosomal RNA is filed under the name uncultured bacterium. RNAcentral's name for it is "partial 16S ribosomal RNA". It matches the Rfam family "Bacterial small subunit ribosomal RNA", at positions 28 to 507 of the family's 1533-position model. The record is from RNAcentral.
GAUGAACGCUGGCGGCGUGCCUAAUACAUGCAAGUCGAGCGAACGGACGAGAAGCUUGCUUCUCUGAUGUUAGCGGCGGACGGGUGAGUAACACGUGGAUAACCUACCUAUAAGACUGGGAUAACUUCGGGAAACCGGAGCUAAUACCGGAUAAUAUUUUGAACCGCAUGGUUCAAAAGUGAAAGACGGUCUUGCUGUCACUUAUAGAUGGAUCCGCGCUGCAUUAGCUAGUUGGUAAGGUAACGGCUUACUAAGGCAACGAUGCAUAGCCGACCUGAGAGGGUGAUCGGCCACACUGGAACUGAGACACGGUCCAGACUCCUACGGGAGGCAGCAGUAGGGAAUCUUCCGCAAUGGGCGAAAGCCUGACGGAGCAACGCCGCGUGAGUGAUGAAGGUCUUCGGAUCGUAAAACUCCGUUAUUAGGGAAGAACAUAUGUGUAAGUAACUGUGCACAUCUUGACGGUACCUAAUCAGAAAGCCACGGCUAACUACGUG